RNAcentral lists this ribosomal RNA (253 nucleotides) under uncultured bacterium. RNAcentral describes it as "partial 16S ribosomal RNA". It matches the Rfam family "Bacterial small subunit ribosomal RNA", at positions 524 to 776 of the family's 1533-position model. The record is from RNAcentral.
UACGAGUGCCUCAAGCGUUAUCCGGAAUCAUUGGGCGUAAAGGUUGUGUAGGUGGUUGUAUUAGUCUCUUGUUAAAUUCUUCGGCUUAACCGGGGGCAUGCAAGGGAAACGGUACAACUAGAGGAUGCGAGGGGUCUGUGGAAUUCAUAGUGUAGCGGUAAAAUGCGUAGAGAUCUGGAGGAACACCGAUGGCGAAGGCAGCCUUCUGGGCCAACACUGACGCUCAUGCACGAAAGCGUGGGGAGCAAACAGG